RNAcentral lists this ribosomal RNA (523 nucleotides) under uncultured bacterium. RNAcentral describes it as "bacterial SSU rRNA". It matches the Rfam family "Bacterial small subunit ribosomal RNA", at positions 19 to 518 of the family's 1533-position model. The record is from RNAcentral.
CUGGCUCAGAACGAACGCUGGUAGCGUGGAUUAGGCAUGCAAGUCGAACGGGAUCACCGAUAUAGUAAUAUUGAGGUGUGAGAGUGGCGGAUUGGGGAGGAACACGUGAGCAACCUGCCUUGGAGUCGGGGAAAACCGUUGGGAAACGACGGCUAAUACCGGGAUGUGGCGCCUGGCGACAUCGCCGGAGCGCUAAAGGGGGCCGCAAGGCUCUCGCUCCUAGAGGGGCUCGCGCACCAUCAGCUUGUUGGCGGGGUAACGGCCCACCAAGGCCUACGGUUAGCUGGUCUGAGAGGAUGACCAGCCCCACUGGGACUGAGAUACUGCCCAGACUCCUACGGGAGGCUGCAGUCGAGGAUCAUUUGCAAUGGGCGAAAGCCUGACAAUGCGACGCUGCGUGGAGGAUGAAGGCCUUCGGGUUGUAAAACUCCUGUCAUGGGGGAACAGGCGAGGGGACCCAAUACGUCCCUUAGUUGAGUGUACCCCAAGAGGAAUUGGCGGCUAACUCUGUGCCAGCCGCCGC